RNAcentral lists this long non-coding RNA (719 nucleotides) under Bos taurus (domestic cattle). RNAcentral describes it as "long non-coding RNA NONBTAT011969". The record is from RNAcentral. Lineage: Eukaryota; Metazoa; Chordata; Mammalia; Artiodactyla; Bovidae.
CAAACCCCCAAGGUUCCAAGAAGAAACUGAAGACACCUGGAAUCUGUACUUGCUUUGUGCUAUUGAGCUGUGCUUGUUAUAUGGACCUUGUUGCUUGACCAACAGAUUUAGCAUUUAAAAACCCAGUUAUUUCUGAGAAAUAAUAACCUCUUAGCCCUUUGUGGACAGUUGAGAAUUUGAGGUGUUGUUAUAAUAGAUUUUCCUUAUGUAGAAGUGAAACAUUCAGCUUAGUCUUCAAAAGUUACAGAGUGCAUGCAUAACUGGACAAUAGAUAUUUUAUAGAAAGCUAUCUACAGUGUUAGAAGUGAACAGUUUAUAUACUUUCUAUUUUUCGAUGAGGGAGAAUUUCCAGACAAGCAGGCACUUUCCUUGUUAGUAAAUGCAAGAAUUUGUGGAUGUUCCAUGUUGGUUUUUAAAGUUGAUAAAUGUAAGGCCCACUAACAGCCAUAGUCUAAAAAUACUUAUGAAAUCCACAAAGGAUUAACAGGCUGCUCUGAUGGCUUUUGGUAGAGUGAGAGAGAGAAUUUGGUAAUCUGUCCUAGAGAUUACAUUGCUGAGAAACUACUAGGGAAAGCUAUUUUUAAAAUAGUAAAGAAUAUAUGUAUCUAAGCCCCUAUGAUAGACUUAAAAAUACUAAUUUAAAUGAGUUUUAGAUUGGUUGAUUGGUUUGUUUUGAAGUAACCUGUCUUUCUUCCUGUCAUGUCUUUUUGCAGAAUCCA